Molecule: ribosomal RNA, 439 nt
Filed under: bacterium YRD2004
Lineage: Bacteria
Description: bacterial SSU rRNA
Rfam family: Bacterial small subunit ribosomal RNA
Source: RNAcentral
GAUGAACGCUGGCGGCGUGCUUAACACAUGCAAGUCGAACGAAGCCAAAAGGAAGCUUGCUUUCUUUGAAGCUUAGUGGCGGACGGGUGAGUAACGCGUGAGGAACCUGCCCUUCAGUGGGGAAUAACAGCCGGAAACGACUGCUAAUACCGCAUAAUGUCAUCGGACCGCAUGAUCUGGUGACCAAAGGAUUUAUUCGCUGAAGGAUGGCCUCGCGUCCGAUUAGGCAGUUGGUGAGGUAACGGCCCACCAAACCUACGAUCGGUAGCCGAACUGAGAGGUUGAUCGGCCACAUUGGGACUGAGACACGGCCCAGACUCCUACGGGAGGCAGCAGUGGGGAAUAUUGGGCAAUGGGCGAAAGCCUGACCCAGCAACGCCGCGUGAAGGAAGACGGUCUUCGGAUUGUAAACUUCUUUGAUUGGGGAAGAACACAAUGA